CCCUUAGAUGUUCUGGGCCGCACGCGCGCUACACUGAUGCAUUCAACGAGUCUAAAACCUGCUCUGAUAGGGGUGGGUAAUCUUUUGAAUGUGCAUCGUGAUUGGGAUAGAUGAUUGCAAUUUUUCAUCUUCAACGAGGAAUGCCUAGUAAACGCAAGUCAUCAGCUUGCAUUGAUUACGUCCCUGCCCUUUGUACACACCGCCCGUCGCUCCUACCGAUUGAAUGAUCCGAUGAAUAUCAUGGAUUGAGGAUGCAAGCAGGUUCGCCUGUCUUCAUCUUCAAGAAGUGAAGUAAAUCUUAUCAUUUAGAGGAAGGAGAAGUCGUAACA
RNAcentral lists this ribosomal RNA (329 nucleotides) under uncultured eukaryote. RNAcentral describes it as "partial 18S ribosomal RNA". It matches the Rfam family "Eukaryotic small subunit ribosomal RNA", at positions 1470 to 1796 of the family's 1831-position model. The record is from RNAcentral.